UGAAUACGAGAUGCUACGGCGUCGAAGCAGUCUAUGUCAUACUUCCAAGAAAAGCUCGCACUGUCAUAAACAAAUAAUGCCUGUACCAUAACCGACACAGGUGGGUAGGUAGAGUAUACUAAGGGGCGCGAGAUAACUCUCUCUAAGGAACUCGGCAAAAUGACUCCGUAACUUCGGGAGAAGGAGUGCCUUAUUUAUAAGGUUGCAAUAACAAGAUCCAAGCAACUGUUUAUCAAAAACACAGGUCUCCGCUAAGUCGCAAGACGAUGUAUGGGGGCUGACGCCUGCCCAGUGCCAGAAGGUUAAAGAAGUUGGUUAGCAUUCGCGAAGCUGAUAACUGGAGCCCUGGUGAACGGCGGCCGUAACUAUAACGGUCCUAAGGUAGCGAAAUUCCUUGUCGGGUAAGUUCCGACCCGCACGAAAGGCGUAAUGAUUUGGAUACUGUCUCGGAGAGGGGCUCGGUGAAAUAGACUUGUCUGUGAAGAUGCGGACUACCUGCACCAGGACAGAAAGACCCUAUGAAGCUUUACUGUAACUUGAGAUUGAAAUUGGACUUUACUUGCGCAGUAUAGGUGGGAGGCGUUGAUAAUAUUCUUGCGGGAUUAUUUGAGCCAUCAGUGAGAUACCACUCUUGUAAUGUUAGAUUUCUAACCUUGUAUCAUUAUCUGGUCAAAGGACAGUUUCAGGCGGGCAGUUUGACUGGGGCGGUCGCCUCCUAAACGGUAACGGAGGCGCACAAAGGUUUCCUCUGAACGGGUAGAAAUCGUAUCUAGAGUGUAAAGGCAUAAGGAAGCUUGACUGUGAGACCUACAAGUCGAGCAGGGACGAAAGUCGGUCUUAGUGAUCUGACGGUGCUGAGUGGAAAGGCCGUCACUCAACGGAUAAAAGUUACUCUAGGAUAACAGGCUGAUCUCCCCCAAGAGUUCACAUCGACGGGGAGGUUUGGCACCUCGAUGUCGGCUCAUCGCAUCCUGGGGCGGUAGUACGUCCCAAGGGUUGGGCUGUUCGCCCAUGAAAGCGGUACGCGAGCUGGGUUCAGAACGUCGUGAGACAGUUCGGUCCAUAUCCGGUGUAGGCGUUAGAAUAUUGAGAGGAGCCUUCUUUAGUACGAGAGGACCGAGAAGGACAUACCUCUGGUGUACCAGUUAUCGUGCCAACGGUAAACGCUGGGUAGCUAUGUAUGGAGUGGAUAACCGCUGAAAGCAUCUAAGUGGGAAGCCCACCUCAAGAUAAGUA
This 1236-nucleotide ribosomal RNA is filed under the name metagenome. Its description in RNAcentral is "bacterial LSU rRNA". It matches the Rfam family "Bacterial large subunit ribosomal RNA", at positions 1564 to 2810 of the family's 2925-position model. The record is from RNAcentral.